Molecule: ribosomal RNA, 497 nt
Filed under: uncultured bacterium
Lineage: Bacteria
Description: partial 16S ribosomal RNA
Rfam family: Bacterial small subunit ribosomal RNA
Source: RNAcentral
GAUGAACGCUGGCGGCGUGCCUAAUACAUGCAAGUCGAGCGAACGGACGAGAAGCUUGCUUCUCUGAUGUUAGCGGCGGACGGGUGAGUAACACGUGGAUAACCUACCUAUAAGACUGGGAUAACUUCGGGAAACCGGAGCUAAUACCGGAUAAUAUUUUGAACCGCAUGGUUCAAAAGUGAAAGACGGUCUUGCUGUCACUUAUAGAUGGAUCCGCGCUGCAUUAGCGAGUUGGUAAGGUAACGGCUUACCAAGGCAACGAUGCAUAGCCGACCUGAGAGGGUGAUCGGCCACCCUGGAACUGAGACACGGUCCAGACUCCUACGGGAAGCAGCCGUAGGGAAUCUUGCGCAAUGGGCGAAAACCUGACGGAGCAGCGCCGCGUGAGUGAUGAAGGUCUUCGGAUCGUAAAACUCUGUUAUUAGGGAAGAACAUAUGUGUAAGUAACUGUGCACAUCUUGACGGUACCUAAUCAGAAAGCCACGGCUAACUACGUG